GACGAACGCUGGCGGCGUGCUUAACACAUGCAAGUCGAGCGGUAAGGCCCUUUCGGGGGUGCACGAGCGGCGAACGGGUGAGUAACACGUGGGUGACCUGCCCUCAGCUCUGGGAUAAGCCUGGGAAACUGGGUCUAAUACUGGAUAUGACUCCACGGUGCAUGUCGUGGGGUGGAAAGCCUUGUGCGGCUGAGGAUGGGCCCGCGGCCUAUCAGCUUGUUGGUGGGGUGAUGGCCUACCAAGGCGACGACGGGUAGCCGGCCUGAGAGGGCGACCGGCCACACUGGGACUGAGACACGGCCCAGACUCCUACGGGAGGCAGCAGUGGGGAAUCUUGCGCAAUGGGCGAAAGCCUGACGCAGCGACGCCGCGUGAGGGAUGACGGCCU
RNAcentral lists this ribosomal RNA (388 nucleotides) under uncultured bacterium. Its description in RNAcentral is "bacterial SSU rRNA". It matches the Rfam family "Bacterial small subunit ribosomal RNA", at positions 28 to 417 of the family's 1533-position model. The record is from RNAcentral.